UCAUCCAAGUGCUCGGGGCCUGAUAUUAUGGUGGAAGCGCCCAAAUUAACCUGACUAAAAUGCACUUAAGUCACCUGACACGCGAUCAUGCACUUUAAGCAAGUCAACUUGGUCGUCCGUUGGAUUUCAUCCAAUAAACAACUUACUCAGGAUCGAGAAGCAUUGCUCACAUGAAGGUGAGUAGGCACAGAGAUUACAACAUUCCCAUCACAUUAACA
Molecule: long non-coding RNA, 218 nt
Filed under: Setaria viridis
Lineage: Eukaryota; Viridiplantae; Streptophyta; Magnoliopsida; Poales; Poaceae
Description: long non-coding RNA (SVIR_LNC010718)
Source: RNAcentral